AGACGUCUACAUUAGAUACCCGCGUAGUCCCAGCCGUAAACUAUGCGCGUUAGGUGUAUCGGUGACCACGAGUCACCGAGGUGCCGAAGGGAAACCGUGAAACGUGCCGCCUGGGAAGUACGGUCGCAAGGCUGAAACUUAAAGGAAUUGGCGGGGAGCACCACAACGGGUGGAGCCUGCGGUUUAAUUGGACUCAACGCCGGGAAGCUCACCGGAUAAGACAGCGGAAUGAUUGCCGGGCUGAAGACUCUGCAUGGCUAGCUG
RNAcentral lists this ribosomal RNA (264 nucleotides) under uncultured archaeon. Its description in RNAcentral is "partial 16S ribosomal RNA". It matches the Rfam family "Archaeal small subunit ribosomal RNA", at positions 717 to 982 of the family's 1478-position model. The record is from RNAcentral.